AUCCAGCUGACGAGUCUCAAAUUGGACGAAACGCGCAUCGAACUGUAU
Molecule: non-coding RNA, 48 nt
Organism: Schistosoma mansoni
Lineage: Eukaryota; Metazoa; Platyhelminthes; Trematoda; Strigeidida; Schistosomatidae
Source: Rfam